This 254-nucleotide ribosomal RNA is filed under the name uncultured prokaryote. Its description in RNAcentral is "partial 16S ribosomal RNA". It matches the Rfam family "Bacterial small subunit ribosomal RNA", at positions 525 to 777 of the family's 1533-position model. The record is from RNAcentral.
ACAGAGGGUGCGAGCGUUGUUCGGAAUUACUGGGCGUAAAGCGCGCGCAGGCGGCCUUUUAAGUCUGACGGUGAAAUGCCGGGGCUCAACCCCGUGCCCGCCGGAGAUACUGGGAGGCUGGAGACAGGUAGAGGCAAGCGGAAUUCCGGGUGUAGCGGUGGAAUGCGUAGAGAUCCGGAAGAACACCUGAGGCGAAGGCGGCUUGCUGGGCCUGAUCUGACGCUGAGGCGCGAAAGCGUGGGGAGCAAACAGGA